CAGCUGCAGUGCAUCUCACCAAGUAAGUGUUAUUGGUAAAAUUAGUUUUUGGAUUAUUUACCAAUCUAUGACCCAACCUCUAAAAGCUUAAGUUAAAAUGCAAUGCUUCUUAUACACGUAUUGAAUGGGCAUGGUCUGUGAUCUUGUGUAUACUAAAGUAAUCUACCCUAGAAGCAGACCUCAAAAAAAUCAAAGGCACCCACUGCGAUUGGUGCCGUCUUUGUUUGCCGCCAUGGUUCCCAUUCUCAAAGCUCCUAUACAAAUUUACAUUUUCCUUAUAGAAGUGCCCCUUACCAGAGGAGAAAUGCUGCGCCCUUCAAGAAUGAAAUUCAAGUCCUGGGUAUGCAUUGUGGGUUUCAAUCCCACCCAGGUAGCCUGUGGAGUUUUCAUUCACAGGACUUGGAACUCACUGUGCUAUCAGGUUGACAUUACCCUAUUUCCUUAGAAGCUCAAGUUUGUGCAAAGAAUGAGGUAGGCCAGACAGUUUUCAACCAAUAAUUAAGGUUGGAGUCAAUUGCUUUGCUGCAAAUUCCCUCCCUGUGCUUGAUCAAUGCACCUCCGUAGACCAAAAAACACCUUAUAGCACAACAAUGGGAUGCAAUUUUAUCCAUUUCAAUUGACUGCUGUGUAGUAAAAGAUCAUCCUGAUUAAUUUUAAACUGAAAUUAAAUCUUAGAGAUUACAAAUCUCAUUAUGAAGGUGACCUUGUUCUUUUGUGUGAGAAGUAAACCUGCAAUUAACUCUGUGAUUGCUUUUCCUAUUAAGUGCUCAUUGUACAUUGUAUGGAGUUGGUGCAGUAUGAAAACAGCAGUACAUGUUUUGAUAGGAACAACCUACCUACACAGCAGAUAGCAUGCUGUUACAUCACGUUACCUCAAACUGAAUGCUAUAGUCCUAUAUCAUAUUAGUUUAUAAUGCAUACAGAAUAACAAGUUUAAACGAAAUGGCACUCCUUAUUUUAUUUUAUUUUAAGACAAACGGUUUGGGUAAAUUUUAUUUAUUUUAAUGCCAUUGUGCAGUACAUCACCUCUAAAUUUUAAUUGUUUUAAUUUCUUUAAGUUUUUAUUUAGUAAACAAAGUUUUACUUUAAAUGUUUGCUACUAUGGUUCUCUCCCUAGAUCUAACCUGAUUACUACAGCCCUUGAAAUGUUCAAUUUUCUUUUAAUUGAAUAGCCUGUAAAUUAUACAAAUAUUGACUGCUUCGAGUGCUAUGAUUAAAACUACGACUGCCAAGGUGAUCCCCGGAGUGUUCUAUUUUCCCGAGGCGCGGCUGAGGGAUAUUGGAACGGUCCGGGGAUCACCGAGGGAGUCGUAAGUUUAACCAUAGCACAAGUUAAAGCAGUCAAUAUUUGUUUUAUAACACCCCCAACAGACUAUUUAUCACCCUCGUACAUGCAACGUUCGUACGAGCGUUUCAGAUACACAGAUGCAAAACUGAUUGGGUCCGAGGUAGGUAAAAAGACGUCUGGGUACUGCACGAUGCUGUGUGGUAGUCGAUGCACUAUCACAGGGCAAACGAUGCACUAUCAAAUGGCCACCAUCUAGUGAAAAUUUAAUAGGCAUGUCAUGUGACGCGCUCGUAACCAAUAAAAAGGCAGAACAUUUGUAGGUGGUGUUAUAAUCCGUAUUAUGUACAUGUUGGUUAUUUAUUUUAAAUUUGUUGUAAUUUUGACAUUACAUUUAAUCGAGCCAAACGAUUAAUCCCAUUCUUAAAGCCAGUGGACACUAUUGGUAAUUGUCAAAGACUAGCCUUCACAGUUGGUGUAU
Long non-coding RNA from Asterias rubens (European starfish), 1766 nucleotides. RefSeq lists it as uncharacterized. Lineage: Eukaryota; Metazoa; Echinodermata; Asteroidea; Forcipulatida; Asteriidae. The record is from RefSeq and is a predicted model, not a curated record. The transcript has 2 exons.